Molecule: small nuclear RNA, 111 nt
Organism: Phyllostomus hastatus (greater spear-nosed bat)
Lineage: Eukaryota; Metazoa; Chordata; Mammalia; Chiroptera; Phyllostomidae
Source: RefSeq, a predicted model, not a curated record
GUGCUCGCUCCAGCAGCACGUGUACCAAAACUGGAAUGGCAGACACAGAGCAGGGCAGCACGGCCCCUGCGCACGGAUGACACGUAAGUUCAUGAAGCGUUCCACAUGUUU